RNAcentral lists this transfer RNA (77 nucleotides) under Oerskovia enterophila. RNAcentral describes it as "tRNA-Met". It matches the Rfam family "tRNA". From Rfam's summary of the family: Transfer RNA (tRNA) molecules are approximately 80 nucleotides in length. Their secondary structure includes four short double-helical elements and three loops (D, anti-codon, and T loops). The record is from RNAcentral. Lineage: Bacteria; Bacillati; Actinomycetota; Actinomycetes; Micrococcales; Cellulomonadaceae. RNAcentral also lists the same sequence under 1 other name.
CGCGGGGUGGAGCAGCUCGGUAGCUCGCUGGGCUCAUAACCCAGAGGUCGCAGGUUCAAAUCCUGCCCCCGCAACCA